GGACGAACGCUGGCGGCGUGCUUAACACAUGCAAGUCGAACGGAAAGGCCCUGCUUUUGUGGGGUGCUCGAGUGGCGAGCGGGUGAGUAACACGUGAGUAACCUGCCCUUGACUUUGGGAUAACUUCAGGAAACUGGGGCUAAUACCGGAUAGGAGCUCCUGCUGCAUGGUGGGGGUUGGAAAGUUUCGGCGGUUGGGGAUGGACUCGCGGCUUAUCAGCUUGUUGGUGGGGUAGUGGCUUACCAAGGCUUUGACGGGUAGCCGGCCUGAGAGGGUGACCGGCCACAUUGGGACUGAGAUACGGCCCAGACUCCUACGGGAGGCAGCAGUGGGGAAUAUUGCACAAUGGGCGGAAGCCUGAUGCAGCAACGCCGCGUGCGGGAUGACGGCCUUCGGGUUGUAAACCGCUUUCGCCUGUGACGAAGCGUGAGUGACGGUAAUGGGUAAAGAAGCACCGGCUAACUACGUGCCAGCAGCCGCGGUGAUACGUAGGGUGCGAGCGUUGUCCGGAUUUAUUGGGCGUAAAGGGCUCGUAGGUGGUUGAUCGCGUCGGAAGUGUAAUCUUGGGGCUUAACCCUGAGCGUGCUUUCGAUACGGGUUGACUUGAGGAAGGUAGGGGAGAAUGGAAUUCCUGGUGGAGCGGUGGAAUGCGCAGAUAUCAGGAGGAACACCAGUGGCGAAGGCGGUUCUCUGGGCCUUUCCUGACGCUGAGGAGCGAAAGCGUGGGGAGCGAACAGGCUUAGAUACCCUGGUAGUCCACGCUGUAAACGGUGGGUACUAGGUGUGGGGUCCAUUCCACGGGUUCCGUGCCGUAGCUAACGCUUUAAGUACCCCGCCUGGGGAGUACGGCCGCAAGGCUAAAACUCAAAGGAAUUGACGGGGCCCCGCACAAGCGGCGGAGCAUGCGGAUUAAUUCGAUGCAACGCGUAGAACCUUACCUGGGUUUGACAUGGAUCGGGAGUGCUCAGAGAUGGGUGUGCCUCUUUUGGGGUCGGUUCACAGGUGGUGCAUGGCUGUCGUCAGCUCGUGUCGUGAGAUGUUGGGUUAAGUCCCGCAACGAGCGCAACCCUUGUUCACUGUUGCCAGCACGUUAUGGUGGGGACUCAGUGGAGACCGCCGGGGUCAACUCGGAGGAAGGUGGGGAUGACGUCAAGUCAUCAUGCCCCUUAUGUCCAGGGCUUCACGCAUGCUACAAUGGCUGGUACAGAGAGUGGCGAGCCUGUGAGGGUGAGCGAAUCUCGGAAAGCCGGUCUCAGUUCGGAUUGGGGUCUGCAACUCGACCUCAUGAAGUCGGAGUCGAUAGUAAUCGCAGAUCAGCAACGCUGCGGUGAAUACGUUCCCGGGGCUUGUACACACCGCCCGUCAAGUCAUGAAAGUUGGUAACACCCGAAGCCGGUGGCCUAACCGUUGUGGGGGAGCCGUCGAAGGUGG
Molecule: ribosomal RNA, 1431 nt
Filed under: uncultured organism
Description: 16S ribosomal RNA
Rfam family: Bacterial small subunit ribosomal RNA
Source: RNAcentral